RNAcentral lists this unclassified non-coding RNA (315 nucleotides) under fungal sp. RNAcentral's name for it is "partial internal transcribed spacer region". The stretch from base 1 to 46 matches the Rfam family "Eukaryotic small subunit ribosomal RNA", at positions 1786 to 1831 of the family's 1831-position model. The record is from RNAcentral. Lineage: Eukaryota; Fungi.
AAGUCGUAACAAGGUUUCCGUAGGUGAACCUGCGGAAGGAUCAUUACCGAAUAAAAUCCAGCUGGGUUGCCGCUGUCCCCCAGAAGGGGGAAUGUGCGCACCUUGCUGUUGUUUCCACCUCUUCCACCUGUGCACCUCCUUGUAGGCCAGAUCACCCGUUUGAUCCACAGUCUCGGAUCUUGUGAGGACUUGCCGUGAUGGCUUUUCCUGGGGCUGCACCUGGUCUAUGCCCUUUUAUCAAACCCCGUCGUAUAUGUCGUUGUUUUUCUUUUGGAAUACAUACUACAACUUUCGACAACGGAUCUCUUGGCUCCC